This 409-nucleotide ribosomal RNA is filed under the name uncultured bacterium. Its description in RNAcentral is "partial 16S ribosomal RNA". It matches the Rfam family "Bacterial small subunit ribosomal RNA", at positions 355 to 745 of the family's 1533-position model. The record is from RNAcentral.
UGGGGAAUAUUGCACAAUGGGCGCAAGCCUGAUGCAGCCAUGCCGCGUGUGUGAAGAAGGCCUUCGGGUUGUAAAGCACUUUCAGCGAGGAGGAAGGUGGUGAGCUUAAUACGCUCAUCAAUUGACGUUACUCGCAGAAGAAGCACCGGCUAACUCCGUGCCAGCAGCCGCGGUAAUACGGAGGGUGCAAGCGUUAAUCGGAAUUACUGGGCGUAAAGCGCACGCAGGCGGUUUGUUAAGUCAGAUGUGAAAUCCCCGGGCUCAACCUGGGAACUGCAUUUGAAACUGGCAAGCUAGAGUCUCGUAGAGGGGGGUGAGAAUUCCAGGUGUAGCAGGUGAAAUGCGGUAGAGAUCGUGGAGGAAUCACCGGAUGGCGCCAAGGUGCGGCCCCCUGGAACGAAGACUGACG